AAACAUCAAAAGCUCAGCAGGAGGCAGUAUGAAGGACUGGUUGAAGAUCACCAGAUCCUACAAGUCUUUUUGCUGUUCCUUUGGUCAGGAUAUGACAGUCGACUCCUUGGGUAAUCCUUGCCAGGAAGCGUCCCGCCUUCCUGAAAAUCACUCAUGUGCCUGACUGCCCUCUGCUCCUCCCCACAGAUAAGACUGGAAACAUGCCAAGCACGCAGCACCACCUCAUCUCAUCUCCUAAUCACAGACUGUCAGAUAUAUAGCUAUGUCUUCUUUAUGUAACCCCAAACAACACAGUCACUGGAUUUUGUCAACUUCAUCUUGGGGUGACAUUUUCCAAAAGUCGCCCAGUUAACCAAUCAUCUCCUCUUCCAGGCCUUCUGGGUUCUUCUUGCAAAUAACAUAGUGUGAUUAUUCUUGUGGUUACACUGAACUCUUGAAAAACUGCUUUUCACGUC
This is a long non-coding RNA of Poecilia latipinna (sailfin molly), 455 nucleotides long. RefSeq lists it as uncharacterized. Lineage: Eukaryota; Metazoa; Chordata; Actinopteri; Cyprinodontiformes; Poeciliidae. The record is from RefSeq and is a predicted model, not a curated record. The transcript is spliced from 2 exons.